RNAcentral lists this ribosomal RNA (521 nucleotides) under Thesprotia sp. MN604. RNAcentral describes it as "partial 16S ribosomal RNA". It matches the Rfam family "Bacterial large subunit ribosomal RNA", at positions 1832 to 2600 of the family's 2925-position model. Lineage: Eukaryota; Metazoa; Arthropoda; Insecta; Mantodea; Thespidae. The record is from RNAcentral.
GGUUUCUUGUUGAAAUAGGAGAUUUGACCUGCCCACUGAAUAUUAAUUUGAAGGGCCGCGGUAUCAUGACUGUGCGAAGGUAGCGUAAUCAUUAGUCUUUUAAUUGAAGGCUUGUAUGAAUGGUUGGACGAGGUGAAUACUGUCUUAUUAUAAUUGUAAAGUUGAAGUUGGGAUUUAAGUAAAAAAACUUAAAUAUUGUUAAGGGACGAGAAGACCCUAUAGAGUUUAAUAAAUUUAAGUGGUAGUAAGGUUAUAGUUAAGAUGGUAUUUAUUAUAAUUAAAGUUUAUUUAAUUGGGGCGAUUAGAAGAUAAAUAAAACUCUUCUGUAUUUUAAAUAUGUGUUAGUAAAUGAUUGAUCCAUGUUGAAUGAUUAAAAGAUAAAAUUACCUUAGGGAUAACAGCAUAAUUUUCUUGGAGAGUUCUUAUCAAUAAGAGAGAUUGUGACCUCGAUGUUGGAUUAAGAUGGGAGUUGGGUGUAGGUGUUCAACGAGUUAGGUCUGUUCGACCUUUAAAAUCUUACA